RNAcentral lists this ribosomal RNA (691 nucleotides) under eukaryote SCGC AAA074-P04. RNAcentral's name for it is "bacterial SSU rRNA". It matches the Rfam family "Bacterial small subunit ribosomal RNA", at positions 139 to 859 of the family's 1533-position model. The record is from RNAcentral.
GAGGAUAACAUUUAGAAAUAUUUGCUAAUACUCUAUAUGCUUUACAGUGAAAGAAUUUAUUCGCCUAAAGAGGAGCUCGCGUCUGAUUAGCUAGUUGGUAGGGUAAAGGCCUACCAAGGCGACGAUCAGUAGUUGGUCUGAGAGGACGGCCAGCCACAUUGGAACUGAGACACGGUCCAGACUCUUACGGGAGGCAGCAGUGAGGAAUUUUCUGCAAUGGGCGCAAGCCUGACAGAGCAAUACCGCGUGAGGGAUGACUGCCUACGGGUUGUAAACCUCUUUUCUCAAGGAGGAAGAUCUGACGUUACUUGAGGAAUAAGCAUCGGCUAACCCUGUGCCAGCAGCCGCGGUAAUACAGGGGAUGCAAGUGUUAUCCGGAAUUAUUGGGCGUAAAGCGUCUGCAGGUUGAUCUACAAGUCUUUUGUUAAAUUUUCAGGCUUAACCUGAAGUCAGCAAAAGAAACUGUUUAUCUUGAGUAUGGUAGAGGUAAGGGGAAUUUCCAGUGGAGCGGUGAAAUGCGUAGAUAUUGGAAAGAACACCAACAGCGAAGGCACCUUACUGGGCCAUUACUGACACUCAGAGACGAAAGCUAGGGUAGCAAACGGGAUUAGAUACCCCGGUAGUCCUAGCCGUAAACGAUGGAUACUAGAUGUUGUGUACUUUAAUAGUAUGCAGUGUCGUAGCUAACGCG